This is an unclassified non-coding RNA of Mus spicilegus (steppe mouse), 277 nucleotides long. Its record names the gene 7SK. It matches the Rfam family "7SK RNA". From Rfam's summary of the family: 7SK was discovered as an abundant small nuclear RNA in the mid-70s but a possible function has only recently been suggested. Two independent studies have found that 7SK RNA binds the CDK9/cyclin T complex (known as elongation factor P-TEFb). Lineage: Eukaryota; Metazoa; Chordata; Mammalia; Rodentia; Muridae. The record is from Ensembl.
AAAGCCAAAGGGAACGAGUUAUUUGCCAUCCCAUUGGUCUCCAGGGUAGAUUUAGCUGAUGUGGCUAGGUGGCCAGGUGUCCCCUUCCUCCCUCGGAGCUUGUGUAUGCCCCUCCUCAGCUGCGUCCUCAGUGGAAAAGAGCCACCCUCCCUGAUAGACCCUUCCCUUGUGGGCUUCUGAGCAGUUGUACUCUGGUACUAGAACCUCCAGACAAACUUUUAAGAAAUAAAAGGGUCACUGGGUGUAGAGCCUUGGGCAUGUGGCUCAGUGCUAAUGU